GAGUUUGAUUAUGGCUCAGGAUGAACGCUGGCGGCAUGCCUAACACAUGCAAGUUGAACGAGAAGUUCUGGAGGGAGUCUUCGGACGAACGAAGGAAUGGAAAGUAGCGAACGGGUGAGUAACGCGUGGGCAACCAACCUUACACAGGGGGGAUAACGCAGAGAAAUUUGCGCUAAUACCGCAUAAGCGCACAGUACCGCAUGGUACGGUGUGAAAAACUCCGGUGGUGUAAGACGGGCCCGCGUCUGAUUAGUUAGUUGGUGAGGUAAAAGCUCACCAAGGCGACGAUCAGUAGCCGACCUGAGAGGGUGAUCGGCCACAUUGGGACUGAGACACGGCCCAAACUCCUACGGGAGGCAGCAGUGGGGGAUAUUGCACAAUGGAGGGAACUCUGAUGCAGUAAUGCCGCGUGAAGGAAGACGGUUUUCGGAUUGUAAACUUCUAUCAGCAGGGAAGAAAAUGACG
RNAcentral lists this ribosomal RNA (465 nucleotides) under Lachnospiraceae bacterium canine oral taxon 073. Its description in RNAcentral is "bacterial SSU rRNA". It matches the Rfam family "Bacterial small subunit ribosomal RNA", at positions 9 to 456 of the family's 1533-position model. The record is from RNAcentral. Lineage: Bacteria; Bacillati; Bacillota; Clostridia; Lachnospirales; Lachnospiraceae.